This 221-nucleotide ribosomal RNA is filed under the name uncultured bacterium. RNAcentral describes it as "partial 16S ribosomal RNA". It matches the Rfam family "Bacterial small subunit ribosomal RNA", at positions 129 to 334 of the family's 1533-position model. The record is from RNAcentral.
CCCUUCGGCGGGGGACAACAGUCCGAAAGGAUUGCUAAUACCGCAUACGUCAGCGAGCCCUUCGGGGUUUGCUGGGAAAGAUGGCCUCUUCAUGAAAGCUAUCACCGAAGGAUGAGUCCGCGGCCCAUCAGCUAGUUGGCGGGGUAAUGGCCCACCAAGGCUUAGACGGGUAGCUGGUCUGAGAGGAUGAUCAGCCACACUGGAACUGAGACACGGUCCAG